Molecule: ribosomal RNA, 279 nt
Filed under: uncultured bacterium
Lineage: Bacteria
Description: partial 16S ribosomal RNA
Rfam family: Bacterial small subunit ribosomal RNA
Source: RNAcentral
UGCCAGCAGCCGCGGUAAUACGUAGGGGGCAAGCGUUAUCCGGAAUUACUGGGUGUAAAGGGAGCGUAGGCGGUAAUGUAGGUCAGAUGUGAAAGCCCGGGGCUCAACCCCGGGACUGCAUUUGAAACUGCAUAACUAGAGUACAGGAGAGGAAAGUGGAAUUCCUAGUGUAGCGGUGAAAUGCGUAGAUAUUAGGAGGAACACCAGUGGCGAAGGCGACUUUCUGGACUGUAACUGACGCUGAGGCUCGAAAGCGUGGGGAGCGAACAGGAUUAGAUA